CUUUCCACGUUGCACAAGCCCAGCGCACGGUACCCACUGGAUAUGCCCGAGGCCUCCAGAGGAAAGGAAAGGAGGAAAAGGGACAGAAGAAAUGUUCACAGGAACUGCAUAUGGGCCUGCUACUUGUGUCAAAAUGUGACUGAACUCUCUUCCAGCAGGCUGGAGUGCAGUGGUGCGAUCUCAGCUCAUUGCAACCUAUGCCUCCCGGGUUCAAACGAUGCGUAGUAUGGCAGCAAUUAAGAUGGAAGUAAUGAGGAAAAGGAAUACUUAUCAAUGGAGAUUAGAGAGAGCCAAGUGUGAAUCCCUGGAAGGCAAGAUCGCCAUUCUGGUCUCUUGUGGAUAUCAAUGCUGAUCUCAGCUUCUGAUGCACGGCAGUCAAUUAAUAAAUGAUUGUUGCCUGAAAAACUGAGCCCCAAAACAAUAUUACAAGUUUAAUAUCAGUAAAGGAUUUAAUGCUUUCUAACAUGAAGAUACCAGAAGUUGCUGAUUUUUGUAUAACCCAGAGAUGGAUUUAAAUGCAGAGUGUAUGAACUUCUUCAUUCCUGAGGGAGGACUUAUGAUUUCAUGAGAAAUGCCCUAGGAAAGGGGCCGGGGAGACUGAUGGAGAAGAAGAGUUUGGGAGGGAAGCCCCAAGGACCAUCUGCCCCAUCAGAGUCACAUGCAGAGGGUCCUGCUCCUGCCGUUGGAAGUUGGCUUCCUGAGCUGCUGAACGUGCCAGUCCUGCUGACCCACUCUCAGAUAUCACAGGCACCCGCUGUGUCUGACAGAGACCUUUCUGCAAGUACACGUGCAGGUCUGCUCUGCAAAGGCGUUAUCAUCUGCAGAUUAUUGCACAGAGUGGCUACGAGCUGUGGUGUGAUCCUGUCACAGAGAGAGCCUGGUCACGUUUUCAGAACAGCAGGAAACAGGUACACCUGUAAGCUUAUACUUAUCAGAUUUAAAAAUAAAACAAAAAAUCCAUGCUAUUCCAUGAAAAUCGGACUCAAAUAAACUUAGUCACUGAUCUGUGAAGUAAAUAAUCUGAUGGUAAUGCAUCAGUUGACACUUGGGCCUGGGUUUUUAGGCACUAAUGAAAGCCAGGGGCAAAAUAAUUUUUAAUCUACCAUUAUUUCCCUUGAUGGUUCGACAAAAGUUCUUGUACUAGAAAGUUUUAUAAAACUACUUUCUGAGUGUCCUGUGACAUUUCUCUGAUGAUAUAAAAAGUCAAUAUUUGAUAGCUUAAAUAUCAAUAUUGACAGAAAUAUGAUUAUUUAAAUAAAAACACAAAUAGUAAAAUAAUUUUAUAUG
This 1287-nucleotide long non-coding RNA is filed under the name Homo sapiens (human). RNAcentral's name for it is "uncharacterized LOC102723341, transcript variant 2 (LOC102723341)". The record is from RNAcentral. Lineage: Eukaryota; Metazoa; Chordata; Mammalia; Primates; Hominidae.